RNAcentral lists this transfer RNA (75 nucleotides) under Gloeobacterales cyanobacterium ES-bin-313. Its description in RNAcentral is "tRNA-Gln". It matches the Rfam family "tRNA". Rfam says of the family: Transfer RNA (tRNA) molecules are approximately 80 nucleotides in length. Their secondary structure includes four short double-helical elements and three loops (D, anti-codon, and T loops). Lineage: Bacteria; Bacillati; Cyanobacteriota; Cyanophyceae; Gloeobacterales. The record is from RNAcentral.
UGGCUUGUCGUCUAAUGGGUAGGACGCGGUGCUCUGAACGCCGUUAUCUUGGUUCAACCCCAAGCGAGCCAGCCA